AAUCGAAGGGCAAAGAAAAGCUUACUUAGCCUCCAACGAUUGCACGAAAGUUAUUCAGUGAGUGGUCAAAUUUGUUACUUCCAGGUAAUCCUCAGCAGUAGAUGGAUCAGUGUGAUGGAGGGCUCGAUAGUGACCACUGGUAGAUACUUAUUGGUUUUAUGUGUAACAUUUAUUUCAUCUGUUAUACUUUAAAAAUUAUUUUCUUGGGAUUAUUCAUGUCUUUGGACUCGAA
Long non-coding RNA from Gossypium arboreum, 232 nucleotides. RefSeq lists it as uncharacterized. The transcript is spliced from 2 exons. The record is from RefSeq and is a predicted model, not a curated record. Lineage: Eukaryota; Viridiplantae; Streptophyta; Magnoliopsida; Malvales; Malvaceae.